CCUACGGGGGGCAGCAGUGAGGAAUAUUGGUCAAUGGACGAGAGUCUGAACCAGCCAAGUAGCGUGAAGGAUGACUGCCCUAUGGGUUGUAAACUUCUUUUAUAUGGGAAUAAAAUGUUCCACGUGUGGGAUUUUGUAUGUACCAUAUGAAUAAGGAUCGGCUAACUCCGUGCCAGCAGCCGCGGUAAUACGGAGGAUCCGAGCGUUAUCCGGAUUUAUUGGGUUUAAAGGGAUCGUAGGUGGAUUGUUAAGUCAGUUGUGAAAGUUUGCGGCUCAACCGUAAAAUUGCUGUUGAAACUGGCAGUCGUGAGUACAGUAGAGGUGGGCGGAAUUCGUGGUGUAGCGGUGAAAUGCUUAGAUAUCACGAAGAACUCCGAUUGCGAAGGCAGCUCACUGGACUGCAACUGACACUGAGGCUCGAAAGUGUGGGUAUCAAACAGGAUUAGAUACCCCAGUAGUC
Molecule: ribosomal RNA, 460 nt
Filed under: uncultured bacterium
Lineage: Bacteria
Description: partial 16S ribosomal RNA
Rfam family: Bacterial small subunit ribosomal RNA
Source: RNAcentral